RNAcentral lists this long non-coding RNA (1726 nucleotides) under Erythranthe guttata (spotted monkey flower). Its description in RNAcentral is "long non-coding RNA (EGUT_LNC002916)". Lineage: Eukaryota; Viridiplantae; Streptophyta; Magnoliopsida; Lamiales; Phrymaceae. The record is from RNAcentral.
AACUAUCCAACAAUUCUAUACUUGCAUAGUCAACAAUGCACAAACUCCUUCAAAUUACACAGUAAUAGACGUUCAACAAUUUUGAGAAACGUUCUAAAAAAUAAAUAGAAUACUUAUUGAUUGUCAGAAAAACAAAAUACAAGACUUUAUAUAGUCACAAAAUCAUCCACAUUUUAAUCAAGUCAAAACGGAAUUGCCCAAAACGUAGUACGAGAUAUAAGGCUAAACUAAUUCAUUACCGUCAAACUUGCGGUAUCCUCUCCCCUCCAUGCAUAAAAGUUUUUCUGCAUCAAUAAACAUACUUUAACUAUCAACACCAGGACAAAAAUGAACCAACAUAAAAAUACAAUAACAUGUAAGUUUAUGGAAAUCACCUUUUCUUUGAAUACUAAUCCACUGAUUAAUAUAUAAUUAAAAGUGUAUUUAUUUACUUCAAGAAGGUAUGUUCAAGAAAAAUAAAAGAUGCAUAAUGUUUUACCGUAAUCGAAAAUACAAUAUCUUGUAGAAUUAUUAGAUCUUCACCCUAGUCCACUGCAAAAGAGAAUGAAACACAAGCCAUACUGUUAAUAAACAUAAAUAUCAGCUAUAUCAACAACAUAACAAUACAUCAAAUCAAUUUAUAUGUUCCCAAAAUAUAAACCAAAUUGACUGCACUGCUCAACAUUAAUUACGAUACAAGUGUUAGCAUAUUUUUAGUCGCCAGAAAAAAAUGUAGUUCUUGGGUCGGAUGCAAAAUAUGUUGGUGCCGUAAAAACCCACAAAUUCACAAGUGAUACUUCAAUUAAUUAGUAACAUAAUUAGAGCCCAAAAGCCUACGCGACAUAGCAUUGGUUUACUGGUGCUCCUUGAGAAACUUAUCAAAUUCAUAGUCACAAAACUUCAACUUAUUAAGCAGACAAAGCGAAAAUUAUGCGUUGAAUCUAGGAAGCUAAGUGCUUACCCAACUAGUGAAUAUAUGCUCAUAGGGAAGACGUUAAGACAUGGAAAUAAUUGAAGCGGAAGAACCUAGUGACUCCAUUUGCAUCACCUACAAAAAACACAUUCACUUAUAAUUUGUACAAGGUAUUACCCACCUAGGUAAAAUUCAAAGCUCUAAACACUCAAGCUAUAAGCUGCUUUGUGAAACAAGUCAAUACAAGAAAACAAUGAAACCUUCAAUCAAAACAAGGGAAUAAGAAUAAACAGAAUACAUACAAUGUAAAUGAAAUUAAGAACAUAAAGAAAUAAAAUUAUAAACACAGCAUAAGAAACUAUAGUAUUCACCUUAACAAUAGAAACAAAAGUUAGAAGGGCUGGAACAUGUAAACCAAAUUUCGGGGUUAAGUAACUUUAAAAGUAUUACCCUAAACCUGCACUAAAAAUCGAACCAGCAAAACAAAACACAUUCAUAAAUAAAUUGGAGAAAAACAAAAAUAUCAAAAGGCCCCUUGUCCUCGGCCACAUGAAGCACUUUUAAAUGCCAUAGAAACAAGUAAAGUUUGGUACUCUGCGAUUAAAGGAUACAAAGAAAUAAGAUUAUAUAUAACUAAGAACCAGAAAUAAAUUUCAAAACGCGAAAUUGUAUAACUUUUCAAUUUAAUUUUGAGAACAAAUCUCAAUUUAGGGCAUUUGAGGAAAAAUCCUAACAAUCAAUUUAAGAAGGGGAUAGAGAAAAUAGAGAAAAAAGACAGCGAAAAAAAAAGAGUUGGAGCGAGAGCAACAGAAAACUUACUUUAACUGAUACGAC